GAUGAACGCUGGCGACGUGCCUAAUACAUGCAAGUCGAGCGAACGGACGAGAAGCUUGCUUCUCUGAUGUUAGCGGCGGACGGGUGAGUAACACGUGGAUAACCUACCUAUAAGACUGGGAUAACUUCGGGAAACCGGAGCUAAUACCGGAUAAUAUUUUGAACCGCAUGGUUCAAAAGUGAAAGACGGUCUUGCUGUCACUUAUAGAUGGAUCCGCGCUGCAUUAGCUAGUUGGUAAGGUAACGGCUUACCAAGGCAACGAUGCAUAGCCGACCUGAGAGGGUGAUCGGCCACACUGUAACUGAGACACGGUCCAGACUCCUACGGGAGGCAGCAGUAGGGAAUCUUCCGCAAUGGGCGAAAGCCUGACGGAGCAACGCCGCGUGAGUGAUGAAGGUCUUCGGAUCGUAAAACUCUGUUAUUAGGGAAGAACAUAUGUGUAAGUAACUGUGCACAUCUUGACGGUACCUAAUCAGAAAGCCACGGCUAACUACGUG
Molecule: ribosomal RNA, 497 nt
Filed under: uncultured bacterium
Lineage: Bacteria
Description: partial 16S ribosomal RNA
Rfam family: Bacterial small subunit ribosomal RNA
Source: RNAcentral